RNAcentral lists this ribosomal RNA (442 nucleotides) under uncultured bacterium. Its description in RNAcentral is "partial 16S ribosomal RNA". It matches the Rfam family "Bacterial small subunit ribosomal RNA", at positions 338 to 795 of the family's 1533-position model. The record is from RNAcentral.
CCUACGGGUGGCAGCAGUGAGGAAUAUUGGUCAAUGGGCGCAAGCCUGACCCAGCAACGCCGCGUGAAGGAAGAAGGCUUUCGGGUUGUAAACUUCUUUUUACAGGGAAGAGCAGAAGACGGUACCUGUCGAAUAAGCCACGGCUACCGACGUGCCAGCAGCCGCGGUAAUACGAAGGUGGCAGGCGUUGUCCGGCUUUACUGGGUGUAAAGGGCGUGUAGCCGGGCUGACAAGUCAGGUGUGAAAUCCGGCGGCUCAACCCCCGAACUGCAAUUGAAACUGUUGGUCUUGAGUAUAGGAGAGGCAGGCGGAAUUCGUGGUGUAGCGGUGAAAUGCGUAGAUAUUAGGAGGAACACCAGUGGCGAAGGCGGCCUGCUGGACGACAACUGACGGUGAGGCGCGAAAGCGUGGGGAGCAAACAGGAUUAGAUACCCGUGUAGUC